Long non-coding RNA from Oncorhynchus tshawytscha (Chinook salmon), 2051 nucleotides. Lineage: Eukaryota; Metazoa; Chordata; Actinopteri; Salmoniformes; Salmonidae. The record is from Ensembl.
GCUUUGGCCACAUGACUUUAUUACAAUACAUUUUUUGUUAAAACAUGACAUUAUAAACCACAAUAGAAUUUUAAAAGAAAACCUUAUUUCUCCGCUGUGCUCUAUCCCUUUAAUUCUGAUAUAAUUACUGUCUCAUUACAGUUAUUAAUCAUAAUGUAGAUGACACAACCAAUGCCUGGUGAUAGGCUAUCACCCAUCCAUCAUAUUUACACUAAGAGCCCUUAUCAUGAACUCGUUAUUCAGAACUAUAUUCCCUCACUAAGUGUUUUUUACAGAGUGUGUUCAUGUACUUGGAAAUGGUAUUUACACGUCUUUGGUGUAGUGGACAGACAGAGACAGACAGCCAGAAAGAGACAGCCAGAGACAGACAGAGACUUAAGGCGUGGCAGUAUAUAUAAGAUACAACUCUGUUCCAACAUUUUAGAGAUGCAUCCUUCUUUCUUUCCUUCCUUCCUUCCUUCCUUCCUUCCUUCCUCUAAGUGGAAGGAAAGCUCAUAACAAUGUCUGGAACAGACCGAAUGGAAUGGCAUCAAACCAGUGGUGUAAAGUCCUUAAGCCUCUGGCCUGGCAGACUCACUAAACACAAAUGCUUCGUCUGUAUGUAUGAGUGUUGGAGUGUGUCCCUGGCUACCUGUCAAUAAAAAUAAAAUAAAAAAUUGUGCAGUCUGGUUUGCUUAAUAAAAGGAAUUUGAAAUGGUUUAUACUUCUACUUUUGAUACUUAAGUACAUUUUAGCAGUUACAUUUUUCUUUUAAAACCAAAUACUUUUAGACUUUAACUCAAGUAGUAUUUUACUGGGUGACUUUUACUUUUACUUGAGUCAUUUCCUAUUAAGGUAUCUUUACUUUUACUUGAGUCAUUUCCUAUUAAGGUAUCUUUACUUUUACAAAAGUUGUUUAAUUGAAUACUUUUCCCACCAUUGCAUCAAACACAGAACCCUUUGUUAGAUGUGUUUCAUACAAUUCCACUGAUUCCACUCCAGUCAUUCCAACAAAAGCCCGUCCUCCCCAAUUAAGGUGCCACCAACCUCCUGUGCUCUGUCCCUUUAAUUCUGAUAUUAUGACUGUCUCAUUACAGUUAUUAAUCAUAAUGUAGAUGACACAACCAAUGCCUGGUGAUAGGCUAUCACCCAUCACUUGUUACAGUAUUAACAACAAGCCUGUUUUAUCUACUACAAUAUUUACACUAAGAGCCCUUAUCAUGAACUCGUUAUUCAGAACUAUAUUCCCUCACUUAGUGUUUUUUACAGAGUGUGUUCAUGUACUUGGAAAUGGUAUUUACACGUCUUUGGUGCAGUGGACAGACAGAGACAGACAGAGACAGACAGACAGAGACUUAAAGGUGUGGCAAUUUGAAUGCUCUUAUAUAAGAUACAGCUCUGUUCCAACAUUUUAGAGAUCCUUCCUUCCUUCCUUCCUUCCUACCUACCUACCUACCUACCUACCUACCUACCUACCUUCCUCAAAGUGAUGUCUUACCUAACUACACUGGAUAGGUGAAGAUUUUGUGGUGGAAAUAUCACUCAGACCCAAUCCAACUCUCUAAGGCCAGACCCAAUCCAACUCUCUAAGGUCAGACCCAAUCCAACCCUCUAAGGUCAGACCCAAUCCAACUCUCUAAGGUCAGACCCAAUCCAACCCUCUAAGGUCAGACCCAAUCCAACCCUCUAAGGUCAGACCCAAUCCAACCCUCUAAGGUCAGACCCAAUCCAACCCUCUAAGGUCAGACCAGGAAGUAAAGGAACUGAAGGAUGCAUGUUUUCAAGGAACCUGUAUUCACACAGGGCUGAAACAAAACAGUCUCAAUGUCAACUUGUCAUCUAAAGUACUGCUGAUUAAUUAAUAAAAUACUUUUUGUAAAGACCUCUCUCUCUCUUUCUCUGUCUCUCUCUCUUUCUUACUGACUGUCGGUCUGUCUUGUUCCAGCUCCUUCAAUCUGUAUUUUCCCUCUCUCCCCUUCUCUCUCUCUCUCUCUCUCUCACCCUCUCUCUCUCUGUCUCCCUCUCCCUCCCCCUCUCUCUCUCUCUCUCUCUUUCCCCCCCUCCCCUCUCUC